CCUGGUGGUAAAGGCGGAGGGGAACCACCUGUUCCCAUACCGAACACAGUAGUUAAGCCCUCCAGCGGUCAUGGUACUGCCACAUCUCGUGGUGGGAGAGUAACUCGCUGCCAGGA
Molecule: ribosomal RNA, 116 nt
Filed under: Bacillota bacterium
Lineage: Bacteria; Bacillati; Bacillota
Source: RNAcentral